AAACCAUGCAUUGGGCAUUUUCUAAUCAAUUCCUUGAAUCUCUCCCAAGCUUCAUACAAUGUCUCAUCUUCAAAUUGCCGAAAAGAUGUAAUAUCAUCCCUCAUUUU
Molecule: non-coding RNA, 107 nt
Organism: Gossypium hirsutum (cotton)
Lineage: Eukaryota; Viridiplantae; Streptophyta; Magnoliopsida; Malvales; Malvaceae
Source: Rfam